UAAGUAGACGACAAGAGGAACCGCAUUGAGAUUAAAUAAUGAUUAAACUUUACCCUUACAUUUAAGAUGUAGUAGUUUGUCAAGUUAUUUAACUCUUUGGCGAGUGACAGAAAAUCGGAGGCCCCGACUGUUUACUAAAAACGACAAUUUUCAGCAAUGAUGAAUAUCAUAGUAUUGAAGAUGAAAUUUGCUCGAUGCCAAUAAUAUAAUAAAGAGUAUGGUCCCUAAAGGGCUUAUCAUAAUUUAAGAUAUAAAUUAGGUUACUUAACAUUAUGUAUUAAAAUAAUCAAUACUUAUCUAAGGCUAUAGAACUUAUCAAUCUAUAGCAAGAGUCAAAAAAACCACCUUACCCCUCAAACUUCUAAGUAGCCUACGGGUACGGACGGAUUGAUAUAAAAUUUUGGCGAUCUAAGCUCUAGAGUAUUGAGAUUAUGCCUAUUCUUAUUCUUAUUAUGAUUUGUAUAACUGUUCUUUUAUGAAAUUCUGGUGAAUGGCGGUCUUAACUAUGAGGAUCCUAAGGUAGCAAAAUAAAUUGGCCAUUAAAUGUGGUCCGGUAUCAAUAAUGUAACGAUGGCCUCACUGUCUCUACAACUUGCUCAGUGAAAUUGAAUUGCACGUGCAGAUGCGUGCGACCUUUA
Molecule: ribosomal RNA, 638 nt
Filed under: Typhula ishikariensis
Lineage: Eukaryota; Fungi; Basidiomycota; Agaricomycetes; Agaricales; Typhulaceae
Description: LSU rRNA
Rfam family: Bacterial large subunit ribosomal RNA
Source: RNAcentral